GUUUGAUCCUGGCUCAGAAUGAAUGCUUGCAAUAGGCUUAAGACAUGCAAGUUGUGCGAAAUGAAAAAAAAGCAGCGAACGGGUGAUUAAUGCGUAAGAAUUUGCCCUUUAGUCUGGUGGUAAGAUAGCAAUCAAAUCCCGGAUAUUUUCAAAGAAAAGUGUUUUCGCUAUAGGAUAAGCUUACGUAAGAUUAGGUAGUUGGUGAGGUAAUUGCUCCACCAAGCCGAUGAUCUUUAGCUGGUUUGAAAGAACGUCCAGCCACACUGGGACUGAGACACGGCCCAGACUUUUUCGAAAGGCAGCAGUCGGGAAUCUUGGACAAUGGGCGCAAGCCUGAUCCAGCCAUAUUGCGUGAGGGAUGAAGGCUUAUUUGGUCGUAAACUUCUUUACGUUGUUGAGCAAUGUACAAAAAGCCCUGACAAAAUCUGUGCCAGCAGUCGCGGUAAUACAGAUAGGGCAAGUGUUAUUCGGAUUGAUUGGGCGUAAAGGGUACGUAGGCGGUCUGUUUACAGAGAACAUGCAAAAACAAAGUUUUUGCAUGAAUGUUCGUAUAUUGGGACAACCUUUUUUAAAAGAUGUUCAAUGGGCAUACAACAAGACUUGAGUAAGAUAGAGGAAAGCGGAAUUUUGAGUGUAGGGUUAGAAUUCUUAGAUAUUCAAAGGAACACCGAAAACGAAGGUAGCUUUCUGGGUCUUUACUGACGCUGAGGUACGAAAGCGUGGGGAGUGAAUGGGAUUAGAUACCCCAGUAAUCCACGCCGUCAACGAUGAGUGUUCACUGCAUGAUUUAGAAAAUUGUGGAGUUUAGCUAACGCGUUAAACACUCCGCCUGAGGAGUACGGUCGCAAGGCUGAAACUCAAAGGAAUUGCCGGGGGCUUGUACAAGCGGUGGAUCAUGUGGUUUAAUUCGAAACAACGCGCAGAACCUUACCAGUUUUUGUAUACAAAUAAUGGAAUACCCUUAACGGGGUCAUUUUCGAGAUUUGAACAGGUGCUGCAUGGCUGUCGUCAGCUCGUGUCGUGAGAUGUAUGGUUAAGUCCUGCAACGAGCGAAACCCGUUUUUUUGUAGAUGCAAAAAAACUGCCGAUGAUAAAUCGGAGGAAGGAACGGAUGAUGUCAAGUCCUCAUGGCCCUUAUAAGCUGGGCUACACACGUGAUACAAUGGCAAUGACAAUAGGAAGCAAUGAUGCAAGUCGGAGCGAAACCAAAAAAGUUGUCAAGUUCGGAUUGUUCUCUGCAACUCGAGAACAUGAAGCUGGAAUCGCUAGUAAUCGUGGAUCAGCACGCCACGGUGAAUUUGUACCCGAGCCUUGGACACCUUGCCCGUCACAUUGCGGAAGUGUGUUUGGCUCGAAAAAUGAUCUCUAUCUUAUA
Molecule: ribosomal RNA, 1375 nt
Filed under: Tetraselmis astigmatica
Lineage: Eukaryota; Viridiplantae; Chlorophyta; Chlorodendrophyceae; Chlorodendrales; Chlorodendraceae
Description: partial Bacterial small subunit ribosomal RNA
Rfam family: Bacterial small subunit ribosomal RNA
Source: RNAcentral